RNAcentral lists this long non-coding RNA (7686 nucleotides) under Ananas comosus (pineapple). RNAcentral describes it as "long non-coding RNA (ACOM_LNC027605)". Lineage: Eukaryota; Viridiplantae; Streptophyta; Magnoliopsida; Poales; Bromeliaceae. The record is from RNAcentral.
UUGGGGCAUAGGGUUUAGGUUUUAGGGUUUUAGGGUAUAGGGUUUAGGGUAUAGGGUUUAGGGUUUAGGGUAUAGGGUUUAGGGUAUAGGGUUUAGGGUAUAGGGUUUAGGGUAUAGGGUUUAGGGUUUAGGGUUUAGGGUAUAGGGUUUAGGGUUUAGGGUUUAGGGUUUAGGGUAUAGGGUUUAGGGUUUAGGGUAUAGGGUAUAGGGUAUAGGGUAUAGGGUUUAGGGUUUAGGGUAUAGGGUAUAGGGUUUAGGGUUUAGGGUUUAGCGUUCUAGGGUUUUAGGGUUUAGGCGUUUAGGGUUUAGGUUUAGGUUUUAGGGUUUAUGGUUAGGUUUAGGGCUUUAGGUUUGAGGGUUUAGGUUUAGGGUUUAGGGUUUAGGUUUUAGGGUUUUAGGGUUUAGGUUUAGGUUUAGGGUUAGGUUUAGGUUUUAGGUUUUAGUUUAGGGUUUUAGGGUUUUAGGUUAGGGUUUAGGUUUAGUCCGUUUAGGUUUAGGUUUUUAGGUUUAGGGUUUUAGGGUUUAGGGUUUAGGUUAGGUUAGGUUAGGGUUUAGGUGUAGGGUUUAGGGUUAGGGUUAGGUUUAGGGGUUUAGGGUUAGGGUUUAGGGUUUAGGGGUUUAGGGUUUAGGGUUUAGGUUGGUAGGGUUGUUAGGUUUAGGGUUAGGGUUUAGGGUUGGGUUAGUUAGGGUUUAGGGUUUAGGGUUUAGGGUUUUAGUUUAAGGGUUUAGGGUUUAGUUUUAGGGGUUAGGUUUAGGUUUAGGGUUAGGGUUUAGGUUUAGUAGGGUUUUAGUUUAGGGUUUAGGUUAGGGUUUAGGUUAGGGUUUAGGGUUUAGGGUUUAGCGGUUUAGGGUUUAGGUUUUAGGGUUAGGUUAUUUUAGUGGGUUUAUGGUUUAGGUUUAGGGUUAGGUUAGGUUUAGGUUUAGUUUAGGUUAGGGUUAGGGUUUAGGGUUUAGGGUGUUAGGUUUAGGUUUAGGGUUUAGGGUUUAGGGUUUAGGUUUAGGUUUAGUAGGGUUUAGGGUUAGUUUAGGGUUUAGUUUAGGGCUUUAGGUUUAGGUUUUAGGGUUUAGGUUAUUUUAGGUUUAUUUAGUUUAGGUUUAGGGUUUAGUUUAGGUUUAGGUUUUAGGUUUAGGGUUAUGGUUAGUUAGUUUAGUGUUUAGUUUUAGUUUAGGGUUUAGGUUUAGGUUUAGGUUUAGUUUAGUUAGGGUUGUUAGGGUUUAGGUUUAGGGUUUUAGGGUUUAGGGUUUAGUUUAGUAGGGUUUAGUUAUUUAGGGUUUAGGGUUUAGGUUUAGCGGUUUAGGGUUUAAGGUUUCUAGGGUUUAGGUUUAGGGUUUCAGGUUAGCGGUUAGGUAGGGUUUAGGGUUUAGGGUUUAAGGGUUUACGGUUUAGGGUUUAGGGUUUAGGGGUUUAGGGUUUCUAGGGGUUUAGGGUUAGGUUUAGGGGUUUAGGGUUUAGGUUUUGUAGUUUAGGGUUUUAGGUUUAGGGUUUAGUGUUUAGGAGUUUAGGUUUUUAGGGUUAGGGUUUAGGGUUUAGGGUUUAGGGUUUAGGGUUUGAGUUGUAGUUUUUAGGGUUUAGGGUUUUAGGGUUUAGGGCUUUUAGGCGUUUUAGGUUCUAGGUUUAGGGUUAGGGUUUUAAGGUUCUAGGGUUUAGCGGUUUGGGUUUAGGGUUUUAGGGUUUAGGGUUAGGGUUUUAGGUUUUUAGGUUUAGGGUUUAGUGUUUAGGGUUUAGGUUUAGGCGUUUUAGGGUUUAGGUUUAGGGGUUUCAGGGUUUUAGGGUUUAGGUUUAGGUUUUUAGGGUUUAGGGUUUAGGGGUUUUAGGUUUUUUAGGGUUUAGGGGUUUAGGUUUUAUGGUUUAGCGGUUUAGGGUUUAGGGUUUAGGGUUUAGGGUUUAGGUUAGGGUUUUAGGGUUAGGGUUUAGGGUUAGGGUUUAGGGUUUAGGGUUUAGGGUUCUAGAGGUUUAGGGUUUAGGGUUUAGGGUUUUAAGGUUUAGGGUUUAGGGUUAGAGUUUAGGGUUUAGGGUUUAGGGUUUAGGGUUUAGGGUUUAGGGUUUUAGGUUUAGGGUUUAGGUUUAGGUUUAGGUUUAGGGGUUUAGGGUUUAGGUUUAGUUAGGGUUUAUAUGGGUUUAGGGUUUAGGGUUUAGCGGUUUUAGGGUUUAGGGUUUAGCGGUUUUUAGGGUUUUAGGGUUUUAGGGUUUACGGGUUUAGGGUUUAGGGUAGGGUUUAGUGUUUAGGGUUAGGGUUUAGGGUUUAGUUUUUUAGGGUUUAGGGUUCUAGGGAUUUAGGUUAGGGUUUUAGGUUUAGGUUUAGGGUUUAGGGUUUACGGGUUUAGGGUUUAGGGUUUAGGGCUUUAGGGUUAGGGUUUAGGUUUAGGGUUAGGGUUUAGUUUAGGGUUUAGUUUAGGUAUAGGGUUUAGGUUUAGAGGUUUAGGGUGGUUAGGGUUUAGGGUUAGGUUUAGGUUUAGGGUUUAGGGUUUAGGGUUUAGGGUAUUUUUUUUAGGGUUUAUGUGGUUUAGCGUUAGGGUAUAGGGUUUAGUUUUAGGGUUUAGGGUUUUAGGUUUAGGGUUUAGCGGCUUUAGGUUUAGGGUUAGGUUUAGGUUUAGGGUUCUAGGUUUAGGUUUGGGUUUUAGGUUAGUUUAGGUUUAGGUUUAGGUUUAGGCGUUUAGGGUUUAGUUAAGGUUUAGGGUUUAGGGUUAGGGUUAGUUUUAGGUUUAGGGUUUACCUCCGCUCAUGUUUAGGGUUUAGUGGUUUUAGGUUUAUUAGGGUUUAGGGGUUUUAGGGUUUAGGGUUUAGGGUUAGGUUUAGGGUUUAUGGUUUGGGUUUUAGGGGUUUAGGGGUUUUAGGGUUUUAGGGUUUAGGGUUUUAGGGUUUUUUAGGGUUUAGGGUUUUAGUGUUAGGGUUUAGGGUUUAGGUGUAGGGUUUAGGUUUUAGGUUUAGGUUUAGGGUUUAGGGUUUUAGUAGGUUUUAGGGUUUAGGGUUUUAGGGUUUAGGUUUAGGUUAGGGUUUUAGGGUUUGAGGUUUAGGUGUUACGGGUUUAGGUUUAGGUUUAGGUUUAGGGUUUAGGGUUUAGGUUUAGGGUUUUUAGGUUUAGGGUUUAGGUUUAGGGUUAGGGUUUUAGGGUUUAGGGUUUAGGGUUUAGGGAUUUAGGGUUUAGGGUUAGGGUUUAGGGUUUAGGGUUUUAGGUUUAGGGUUAGCGGUUUAGGUUUUAGUCGUUCUAGGGUUUAGGGUUAGGGUUUAGGGUUUAGGUUUAGGGUUUUUAGGGUUUAGGUUUAGGGUUUAGGUUUAGGGUUUAGGUUUAGGUUUAGUUUAGGGUUUAGGGGUUUUAGGGUGUUAGGUUUAGGGUUAGGUUUAGGUUAGGUUUUAGGUUUAUGUUUAGGUUAGGGUUUUAGCGUUUAGGGUUUAGGGUUUAGGCGUUUAGGUUUAGGGUUUUAGGGUUUUAAGGGUUUAGGGUUUUAGGGUGUUAGGGUUAGGGUUUAGGGGUUUUAGGGUUAGGGUUUAGGGUUUAGGUAGGUUUAGGGUUUAGGGUUUAGGUUUUAGGGUUUAGGGUUUUAGCGGGUUUAGGGUUUAGGGUUAGGGUGUAGGGUUUAGGGUUUAGGGUUGUAGGGUUUAGGUUUAAGGUUUUAGGGUUUAGUUUAGUUUAGGGUUUAGGGUUAGGUUUAGGUUUUAGGUUUAGGUUUAGGUUUAGGGUUUAGGUUUAGGGUUUAGGGUUUAGGGUUUAGGGUUUAGGGUUUAGGGUUUUAGGGUUUAGGUUUAGGUUUAGGGUUUAGGGUUUAGGGUUUUAGGUUUAGGGUUUUAGGUUUAGGUUUUAGGGUUUAGGGUUUAGGGUUAGGGUUUAAGGGUUUAGGGUUCUAGGGUUUAGGGUUUAGCGUUUUAGGGUUUAGCGUUUAGGGGUUUAGGGUUUUAGGUUUAGGGUUUAGGGUUUUAGGGUUUAGGGUUAGGUUUUAGGGUUCUUAGGUUUAGGGUUUAGGUUUUAAGGGUUUAGGGUUUUUAGGGUUUAGGGUUUAGGGGUUUUAGCGGGUUUAGGGUUUAGGGUUUAGCGGUUUUAGUUUAGGGUUUCAGGGUUUAGGUUUAGGUUAGGGUUAGGGUUUAGAGGGUUUAAGGGUUAGGUUUAGGGUUUAGGUUUAGGUUUUAGGGGUUUAGGGUUUAGGGUUUUAGGGUUUAGGGUUUAGGGUUUUAGGGUUUAGGGUUUAGGUUUAGGGUUUAGGGUUUAGGGUUAGGGUUUGAGUUAGGUUUAGUUUUGGGUUUUAGGGUUUAGGUUUAGGUUUAGGUUUAGGGUUAGGGUUUAGGUUUAGGGGUUUUAGGUUUAGGUUUAGGGUUUAGGUUUAGGGUUUUAGGGUUUAGCGGUUUCAGGGUUUAGGGUUUUAGGGUUUAGCGGUUAAGGGUUUAGGUUUAGGGUUUAGGUUUAGGGUUUAGGGUUUAGGGUUACGGGGUUUAGCGGUUUAGGGGUUUAGGUUAGGUAGGGUUUAGGGUUUAGGGUUUAGGUUAGUUUAGGUUUAGUGUUUAGGUUUAGGGUUAGGGUUUAGGGUUAGGCGUUUUAGGGUUUAGGGUUUAGGGUUUAGGUUUCUUAGGGGUGUAGGGUUUAGGGUUAGGGUUUUAGGGUUUAGGGUUUUAGGUUUAGGUUAGGGUUCUAGGUUAGGUUUAGGGUUUAGGUUUUAGUUUAGGGUUUAGGGGUUUAGGGUUUAGGGUUUUAGGGUUUUAGGGUUUAGGGUUUAGGUUUUAGGUUUAGGGUUUAGGGUUUCGGGUUUAGGGUUUAGGUUUAGGGUUUUAGGGUUUAGGGUUAGCCGGUUAGGUUUAGGGUUUAGGGUUUAGGGGUCUAGGUUUUAGGGUUUAGGGUUUAGGGUUUAGCGGUUUAGGUUAGGGUUUAGGGUUUAGGGUUUAGGGUUUAGGUUUAGGGUUUAGGGUUUAGGGUUUAGGUUAGGGUUUAGGUUUAGCGGUUUAGGGGUUUUUUAGGGUUUAGGGUUUUUAGUGGUUUAGAGGUUUUUAGCGGUUUUAGGGUUUUAGGGUUUAGCGGUUUAGGGUUUAGGGUUUAGGGUUUAGGGUUUAGUGUUUAGGUUUAAGGGUUUAGGUUAGGGUUAGGUUAGGGUUUAGGUUUAUGGGUUUAGGUUAUAGGGUUUAGUAGGUUUAGGGUUUAGGUUAGGGAUUUAGGGUUUAGGUUUAGUUUUAGGGUUUAGAGUUUAGAGUUUAGGGUUUAGGGUUUAGGGUUAGUUAGGGUUUAGGGUUUAGGGUUUAGGGUUUAGGGUUUAGUUUGGUUAUAGGGGUUAGGAGUUUAGGUUUUAGGGUUUAGAGGUUUAGGGUUAGUGGAUUUUAGGGGUUUAGGUUUAGUGUUUAGGGGUUUAGGGGUUUAGAGUUAGGGUUUAGGGUUUAGGUUUAGGGUUUAGGUUAUAGGUUUAGUGUUAGGGUUUAGUUUAGGGUUUAGGGUUUAGAGAGUUUAGGUUUAGGUUUAGGGUUUAGGGUUUAGGGUUUAGGUUUUAGGGUUAGGGGUUUAGAGGUUUUAGCGUUUAGGGUUUAGCGGGUUUAGGGUUUAGGGUUUAGGAGUUUUAGAGGUUAUGGUUUAUAAGGGUUUUAGGUUUAGAGGUUUAGGGUUGUAAGUUUAGGGUUUAGUGUUUAAGGGUUUAGCGGAAUUAGAGUUAGGGUUUAGAAAUUUAGUUUUAGGUUAGGGUUUAGAGGUUUUAAUGGGGUUUAAGGUUAGGUGUUUAGUGGUUGGGUUUAGAGGUUUAGUGGUUUAGGUAUAGGGUUUCAGUGGCACGGGUUUAUGGUUUCCAGGGUUUUAGGGAUUAGGUUUAGGGCUUUAGGUGGUUUGUUGUGUAGUCUGCCAGGCGCGCGUAUUCAUUUUCUAGAGAUUUAGGGUUUAGGGUUUAGGUUUAGGGUUUAGGUUUAGGGUUUAAGGAUUAGGUUUAGGGUUUAAGGGUUUAGGUUUUGGUUAGGGUUUAGGGUUUUAGAGGUUUAGUGGUUGAGGGUUUCAGGGUUUAGUGGUUUAGGGUUAUAGAGGUUUAGUAUUAGGGUUUAGGUGUUAGUUUAGGUUUUAGGUUUAGGGUUGUAUGAGGUUAGGGUUUAGGACGUUAAGGGCUUUAGGGUUUAGGGGUUUUAGAGGUUUAGGGUUUAGCCGGUUUAGGGUUUAGGGUUUUGACGCGUUUAGCGGGUUUCAGGUUUAGGGUUUACGCGGUUUAGAGGUUAUAGGUUCUAGGGUUUAGGUUUAGGGUUUAGCGGUUUAGGGUUUAGGGCUUAGGAGGUUUAGGAGGUUUAGGGUUAGUCAGGUUUAGGGUUUUUAGGGUUUAGAGUUAGGGUUUAGGGUUAGUGGUUUAGGGUUUAGGUUUUAGGCUUAUAGGGUUUAGGUUUGCAGAGGUUUAGGGUUAGGGGUUUAUUCAACCGUGGUUUAGGGUUUAGGGUAUUAGGGGUCUUAGUGUUUAAUGCGGUUUACGGGUUUUAGAGUUAUAGGGUUUUAGGGUUUAGGGUUUUAGGGUUAGGAUUAGGUUAGGGUUUAGUGGUUUUAGGUUAGGGUUUAGGUUUAGUGGUUAGGUUUAGGGAUAUUGGUUUUAGGUCUAGGAGGUUCUUAGGUUUUAGGGUUUAGGGUUAAGGGUUUUAGGUAUUUUUAGGUUUUUAGGUAUUUAGGGUUUUAGGGUUUUGUUUUUAGAGCUUUAGGGUUUUAGGGUUUAGGGUUUAAGGGGUUUUAGGUAGGUUAGGGUUUAGGUGUUAGGGUUUAGGGUUUAGGUUUUAGGUUAUAGGUAUUAGGGUUUAGGGUUUAGGGUUUAGGGUUUGAGGGGAUUUAGCGGUUUAGGAUUUUUAGGGUUAUAGGGUAUUAGGGUUUAGGGUUUAAGGUUUAGGGUUUAGACUUGGGUUUUUAGGUUUAGGGUAGGGUUUUAGGGUUUUAGGGUUGUUUAAGGUUUUGAGUUUUAGGGUUUUAGGUUUUAGGUUUUAAGUUUUAGGGUUUUAGGGUUUUAGGUUUAGGGUUUUAGGGGUUUAGGGUUUAGGGUUUAGGUUUAAGGGUUUAGGGUUUAGGGUUUAGAGGUUUUAUGGGUUUAGGGUUUAUUGGUUAGGGUUUAGGGUUUAGGGAUUUUAGGGUAGUUGGUUAUAGGUUUAGGUUUUAGUGGUUUAGGUGGUAGUUUUAGGGAUUUAGGUAUUAGGGCUUAGGUUUAGUUUAGCGGGUUUAGGGUUUAGGUUUAGGGUUUAGGGUUUAGGAUGUUAGGGUUUAGGCUUUAGAGUUUUAGGUUUAGGGUUUAGUGGAUUUAGGGUUUAAGUGGUUUAGAGGUUUAGGGUUUAGGGGUUUAGGUUUAGGGUAUUAGGGGUUUAGGGUUCUAGGGUUUAGGUGUUUAGAGGGUUUUACGGGUUUAGCGGUUUAGGGUUAAUAGGGUUUUAGGGUUUAGGGUUUAGGUUUAGGGUUUAGGGUGUUAGUUUAGGGUUUAGGGUUAGGUUUAGGUUUAGUGGUUUAGGGUUUAGGGUUUAGGGGGGUUUUUAGGGAUUUAGUGUUUUAAGGGUUUUAGGUGUUUAGGGUUUAGGUGUUUAGGUUUUAGGGUUUAGGUUUAGAGGUUUAGGGUCUUAGGGUUUAGGGUUUAGGGUUUUAGGGUUAGGGUAUUUAGGUUUUAGGGUUUAGGGUUAGGGUUUAGGGUUUACGGUUUAGGGUUUUAGGGUUUAGGUUUUAGGGUUUAGGGUUUAGUGGUCUUAGUUUAGGUUAGGGUUUCGGGUUUAGGGUUUAGGUU